Molecule: ribosomal RNA, 253 nt
Filed under: uncultured bacterium
Lineage: Bacteria
Description: partial 16S ribosomal RNA
Rfam family: Bacterial small subunit ribosomal RNA
Source: RNAcentral
UACGUAGGGUGCGAGCGUUGCCCGGAUUUAUUGGGCGUAAAGGGCGCGUAGGCGGCUCGACACGUCCGUUGUGAAAGCCCCCGGCUCAACUGGGGAGGGUCAUUCGAUACUGCUCGGCUCGAAGACAGGAGAGGGAAGUGGAAUUCCCGGUGUAGUGGUGAAAUGCGUAGAUAUCGGGAGGAACACCAGUGGCGAAGGCGACUUUCUGGCCUGUUCUUGACGCUGAGGCGCGAAAGCUAGGGGAGCAAACGGG